CACUCUCACUGUGCAUGGGGGUCCCUGUCACUCUGCAGUGACGAGGACAGUCUGCACAUGUUCUAAACAGACGCAAUUUAAAAAAAAAAUAGUUUUCAGUCAGCAGUUGGUUGGGUUCAAGGGCGCGGAGCCCACGGGUGCAGAGUCGAGGACACCUAGACCUGCACCCUCCUGCCACCACGCUGCCACGCUGUCCCCUCCCUCAUGCCCACCCUCGCCAGCCUCAGAGGACCUGGCCCAGACCCUGCUUCUGUCCCCCCUGGGGACCCGAGGCUGAGCGUCCACCGGUCUGUCCGAGGAGGACACGAAGCAAGGACGCGGGGACUGGCAGAGACAGAGAAGGACACUGGCCUGACCGGCUCCCUCAGGACCUCCAACCACAGGGUGACCUCAGUGUCAGCCACAGGCGACGUUCUGAUCCUGGCCAGAGUCCAGCUCCUGUCCCCGGCCAGCGAGGGGCCUCUGACCCCAACAAGACUGGUUUCUGACCCAAGCUAUUGACCUGUUCAGGAUCCCAGCCACAGGCUGCCCUCGAGCCUGGCCGCACGCUGACCUUCCACCCCAGCCGCGGCCAGCUUCUGGUUCUGCCGCCCUGGCCCCUCAUCCUUUAUAACUGUCUCACAAGACCCCACCCAGGAACUGGCAUUUGCCGAAUUCCUGCUGCCAAUUCAGCUUGAAUUAAUUGGUCAACAAAGCUGAACUGUCUGUCCUUCCUCUCUACCCUGGGACCACAGGGCAGGCUCCCAGUUCUCCUUUCCAACCUGAGAGCAGCGUGAGAAGGCCCCUUUACCACUUUUCUUCUGCUUUGUAUACGAUGUCUGGUGCUCUGGCAGCCAUCAUGUGAUCAUGGAGAGGAAAGAUAGUGUUCUGAAUACGGCAGGGUCUGUGUCCUUGGAGACAUCAUUGAAUGAUCAAAGCAACCCUUGGAUUCUUAAAUAAGCCAUAGCAUGCUUUUAAAAAAAAUAAACCCAUGGAGUUCCUUUGGCAGCUUUAACAAUUGUAGUAAUUAGAAUAACAGACAUACAAAGACGUCCUGUCUGAAUCCCCAGAGGCUGGGAACAGGCUGUGUUAUGUGGCAAGAAGGAAUGAAGGUUGCAGAUGGAAUCAGAGCUCCUCACGGCCUGGCCUGGAGACGGGCACGUCAUCCUGGACCAUCCAGACGGACCGACUGUAAUCACAGGUCCUUGGGGGUGAGAGGGGCGCAGGGGAAUCAGAGCCAAGAGAAACUUGGCGGUAUCAUGCUGCUGGCCCUGAAGACAGGGCCAGUGGCCGCGAGCCAAGGAAUGCAGGCGCCUCCUAGACACACAAGGUCACAGGUGGGACUCUCCCCAGAGUCCCCCGAAGGAUGGCAACCCUGGGGAUGACACUGAGCUUCUGACCUGCAGAAGUGUCACAUGAUAAAUCUGUGGGAGUCAGUGCAGCUGCGGGGUGGGGCCACAGCCCCGGGUCCGACCUUGGCUUCUGGACAGGGCCAGCUGUGGGGAGGCCAGCUCCGCGCCCCUGUCACCCCGCAGUCCCACGCUCAGGGGGACCACCCUGGAAUGCAGCACUCUGAAGCCCCCACCUUGAAAUUCUUACUAGUUCUGUCUUCAAGUCGCAGCCGCACACAGAGGGCUUGCAGCUGCAUCUGACGGCUGUCACCUCCUGCCACUGCUGCUCCUGGGCAGGGUCCUGGCCACCUGCCGCACGCCCCCAGCCCUCCACCCCCCUCCACCUCCCAUGGCCGCUGCUGCCCUCUGCCCUCUGCGGGGACCUGGGGGCCCUGGAGGGCAGGGCCGUGGCUCACCUCAUGACACCUUGGGCUGGGGGUGGUGACAGCGUCCCUGUCCUGGUGUGUCUGCCUAGACAGGACAAGCCUUCCUUUUGUUGGUCCUGGGGAUUUAGCGGGGGCCCGCUUGCCCACUGAGCCACAUCCCAGCCCUUUUUAUGUCUCAUUUUGAAAGGGGGUCUGCUAAGUGCUUGGGGUCUCACUAAGUUGCUGAGACUGGCCUCCAACUCUCCAUCCUCCUGCCUCAGCCUCCAGAGCAGGGAUGUCAGUGGCAAGACCAGCAUCACGCCUGCCCCAGGAGCCCAGAGUCCCCAUCCUGAAUUCUUAACCCUUUCUCUACCUGCACUGCCAAGGCCGAGCCUCCUCCCCACCCUGCUCCUGGGCUCUCCCGGCCUCCUCCGCGGGCUUCUGCCCUCCCCAUUGCACAAGUCCCAGUGCAGGCCAGGCCCCCUCCGCCUGCCUCGUAGCCCUCCCCCUCCCCUCCCUCCUCUCUCCCCUCCCCUCCCUCCUCCCCCUCCCUCCCUCUCCACUUCCUCCCCUGCACCCCUCCUCCACUCUCAGUGCACAGUGGGCCUGACCCGGCCUUGAACCUGCUUUCACUGAAGCCCUGAGGGCUGCUCUCCAUCCGCCUUCCUGCCGCACUCGGCCUCUGCUCCCCUCUCAGAACUGCCUCCCCCUCCGCGCUGGCGGCCUGCCCCGCGCCCAGCCGCCCCAGGUCUCCCUCUCUGCCCUUCCCUAAGAAUCCAGGGCCCCCCAUAAAGGCCCCCACCUCCUCCGCUCCCCUCUCCCCUCCCCCUCCUCCCUCAGCCUCCAGAGCCCCUUCUCCCUCGCCCUCCCCCCUGAUCCUUACUUACUGUGUGUUGGGCACCACGUGGGCCCUGGAACAUAACAGAAGAGCCAAGGAAGCUCUCUGCGCCCCUCUCCCCAUCCACCCUUUCCCCCUCCCUCCCGUCCCUCCCCCUCCCCUCCCCCUCCCCCCUCCUCUCACAUUCUCUCCCUGGAGUUAACUGCAGCCUUCGCUAAACUGACUGCAGUUUCACGGGGCAGCGAUUGUGCAGCCCAGGACCCAGCGCCCCUGGCACAGAGGGGAUCACAGACACCAUUGGGCACUGUGGUGCACUCCUGUAAUCCCAGCAGCUUCGGAGGCUGAGGGAGGAGGAUUGCAAGGCCAGCCUCAGCAACUUUGUGAGGCCCAAUUUCAAAAUACAAAGGGCUGGCGUGGGGCUCAGGGCUGGAGCACCCUGGGUUCAAUCCCCAGGACCAACCAAGAAUGCACUCAGGAGGCUUCCCUGGAUGGACUGAUGGAUGAGUGAAAGAAAGACAUGUUCUAAACCAUCAGCCCUCUCACCUCAACCCCAGAACCAUGUCCCCAGCUAUGGUGGGGCACAUCCCAGUGACCACAGCUUCCCCGGGGACACGUCCUGCAGCCUAGCCGGUACACCCCACCCUGUGACGUGAUGAGCAUCAUUCUAUUGGUGUAUGUUAUUGACUCUUUUCAUUUUGAUCAGUUCGCAGUCUUCCCUCUGGAAGGAGCCUCCAGGGAGCAGAGAUUUUCGUUUGCUUCACUGUUGAAUUCCAGGGCCCACCUGGGGCCCAACACAUAGUAAGUGCUCAAUAAACACGUCUUGAACCGAUGAGCGGAUCUCACCACGGACAAACCCACAGAUCUCAGACUCAGUGUAUCCAAAAUAGCCCUUUGUCCUCCUCUGGGGACAUCCUCCUUUUGGUUCCUGGUCUUGAUUGCUAAACCUACCCAGCAGGCAUCACCAGGCCCGUGCCUUCCUUCCUCAUCUGCAGAUUCUGGCACCGACUGUCUGUCCCUGUGACCCUUCGCCCUGGCUCCUCCAUGCACCACAUGCACCACACCGUCUCCUGCUUGCAGCCCCUGGGCUGAUCCUAACACUGCACCAGGACCAGGUGGUGACAGAGUCUCCCUCCUGCUCCUAAGGGGACACAGGUCCCGGAGGUCCUGAAGGUGAUGUGAGGUGGCCUUGGGCAUCAGUUCGGGAAACUUGUUCCUUUUUCAGCCUCUCUCUCCCUCGGGCCUUCCGCAGGCUGCCAGCAAGUCGCCAGAAUUGAAAUUACUCGGUUUUGGUUUCACUGUGGGCUCUGCAGUUCCGUCUGUUUAUGGUCAAGGAGGCUGGCGCUCCAUUUGUGAAGGGACAAGGUCUCCUCUGAAAAGAAAGCGAAAUAGGUCAACCAACACGAAGGGCUCAGGAAUCAGGGUGGAGGGGAAAUGCAAGUAUGGCCCAAGUGACCUGUCGUGCAGCGGGAUGGGCCCGGGAAGUGUCCAGAGCUCCUGGCAACCAGGUCCCGGUGCCCGGCUGCCCCUCAGUGUGACACCUGUGACACCUGCAGCCACGCUGGGACACGGCCCUGGCCCCAUUCCCAGGGCACCUCGUGCAGUUUCGACCCCAGGCCUGUCUCUUCACUCUGGCCUGUCCCUCACGCUCCUCCCGGACCACUCUGUGCCCCUGUCGCCCAGCACGGUCCUCCCUGGGGAAGGACCCUCGCCACUCCCAGCCCCGCACGUGGCUUCCGCGGACCUGAUGUCACUCUGCGCUCCCACAGCGCGCGACUCAGGCGCGGCCAGUCAGAGUGCUCCUUCCCCAAUCCGUGUAGGGAUUGGCUCCCAGGCGCUCAUGUGAUUAAAUCUGACCAAUGAGAGCCGUUCCCUGAUCCAUCCCGGGAACUAUCACUUUCUUUCGCGAUUCGUAGCUGAUAGCUGAUAAGGCUCCACCUCUGGGAGUCCCCACCCCACCGCACACACUUUUUUACUACCACUGAGGCUCCCUUAUCCUACUUGGGGUUGAGAAGCAAGCAGAUUCCAGAGGCGGAGGCUUCCAACCUGCAGAAAAAAAUUUGAGCACCUUGAUCCAUCCAUGCCUGAAACUACACUCUAAUUUUUUUUUUAAUCACUUGCAACUACAAGGCUCCUGGUCAAAGAAUGAGUUUAAGCUUUAUUGACAUAAAAUUCAUAUAGCAUAUAAGUCACCCUUUCAACCAUUUAAAAAUGCAUGAUCCAUAACACACUGGGUUCUAGUAGAGUCACAGUGUUGUACCCAUGUCACCACUGUGUGAUUCCAGAAUCUCACAACACAACCACCAUCUCCAGAAACAAAAAUAAAAACCAUGAUCCUUCUCACCCACUCCCAACUGCCCUCCCCCAGUGCAUGUCACCACCUGAAAUAUCUCAGGCAUUUCUCUGAGCACCCCCUCAAUACAGGGCCGGGUUGUUCUCCCCUCUGUGCACACUCCCCGUGAUUUUUAAAUCUUAUUUAUUUUUAAUCAUGAAACAUUUCAAACAGACAGAAAGUCAAUCCCUGUGUGUAUCUCCUACUACAUUUUUGAUGUCGGGAACUGGGACUUGAUUUCUUCUUGUGUCCCCAUUUCCCAGCACAGGGUCUGCACCAGACAAGGUGUUCAGUCAAGCAAAACAAGAAGCCAACCCGGGCCCACCCUCACCGUCUCAGCCCUAGGCUGAACCAGAGCUUAAAGAUUCUGCCAACGUUUGUUGAUUGGCUGGUUGACCUCCUUAGUAAACGUCAGGCCCCUCCUCCUGCCUGUGUGUGCAGGGCUGUGGUGGGGCUGGGCAGGAGGGACUUUAUCUGAGCCGAUCACUUCCCACACUCUGACAUUUAAUUAAACCCAGAACUAAACUGACAGUUGUUUACCAUAGCUGGGUACCCCCCAAAAUUCCCCCACUUCAGAGGCUUACAGGUAGAAUAGUGGGGAGGCUGAGCAGAUCAGGGACGCAGGGCCCGUGGCUUCUCUGUCUCUGUGUUGUCCCAUCUGUGCAGCACAGCUGAUGACGCUGAAUACCCUGUGGGGUCACGGGGGAUUGGCUGAGUGAACCCCUGCUGUCCUUGAGGAAGUCUGCUGCCCAGGGUGCUUAGCUGCGUUCUCCCAGCGCUGCACGAGGCCACCCAGCCACGGCCCCCGGGGCUUACCCACCGCCUCGCUCCACUGCAUCUCAGGUUAGGCGCUGCCUCCUCCAGGAAGUCCUCCGGCUCCGCAGACCUUGGGUAGGUACUGCUCUUUGGGCUUCUUGGUGCCCAUGUGUCCCAUCCGCACCAGCAGGGACAGUCUCAGAUACCCCCAGGUGCCCCGAGCCCGGCACAGGGCAGAUGCCCAGAGUGCAGGCUCUCGUGGUGCACACCUGUAAUCCCGGGGACUCGGGAGGCUGAGGCUGGAGGAUCGCAAGUUUGAGGCCAGCCUUGGCAACUUAGUGAGACCCUGUCUCAAAAUGGAAGAUAAAAAGGGUGGAGUCCAGAGGCAGGGCCCCCUGGCUUCGAUCCCCAGUGCCCCCCCCCCAGAAAAAGAGAAAGAAUAUACCAGAACAUGCAUCGAAGGAUAACAAGAGCUUUUGACUUGUCCCUGAUGCUUCUGAGACCGUCCUGACCCAGGCACCCAAGCUCUGGCUCCGUCCUCCCUGUGUCCCGGGGAGGACAGGUGUGCAGAGCCCCGGAGCAGGUGGGGAGCAGCAGAGGCUGCGACUGGGGCUCUGGUUUGUCCCUUGCUGGUUGACCCUGGGUUUGGGCUGCGGGGGCACCGUGACUACGCUGUGGGGGCCACAUGAAUGGCUGCUUGGGUCUGCCCAGGGCCAGCUGUCCUGCCACCAGGUUUUGUGUGAACGCCUCCCUCCUCCUGGGCUGCUCUUCCCCUCCUGGCUGACCGCAGCUCCCUUUUGUGGCCCGAGGUCUGUGCUCCCCACCUCCCCCGCGCCCCAGGCCCUGAGCUCCAGCUGUCAGUAAGUGCUUGUUGACUGACUGACUGACUGUGCUUGGUAAAUAUUUUUGUGAGACUUUGACCUUUUCCCAUGUGAAUGUGGGGAAACCACGGCAGCUUGAACUUUCAGUAAAGCAGAGGCCCUUUGAGGAAGGGAGGCUGCACCGAAACCCAGCCGGCUGCCUGGAAGCCGAGUCAUCGCGGCCCAUCCGCCCUGGGCUGCAGCCUCUUGGAAGAGCCGCUGUCCCUGGGCCAGCCCUGCCGGGAGGAGGUCGGUGACUGAGGAAAGAGCUUG
RNAcentral lists this long non-coding RNA (6791 nucleotides) under Marmota monax (woodchuck). Lineage: Eukaryota; Metazoa; Chordata; Mammalia; Rodentia; Sciuridae. The record is from RNAcentral.